GUCGAACGAUGAAGCCCAGCUUGCUGGGUGGAUUAGUGGCGAACGGGUGAGUAACACGUGAGUAACCUGCCCCCGACUCUGGGAUAAGCCCGGGAAACUGGGUCUAAUACCGGAUAUUACCUUUGACCGCAUGGUUGUUGGUGGAAAGAUUUAUCGGUGGGGGAUGGACUCGCGGCCUAUCAGCUUGUUGGUGAGGUAAUGGCUCACCAAGGCGACGACGGGUAGCCGGCCUGAGAGGGUGACCGGCCACACUGGGACUGAGACACGGCCCAGACUCCUACGGGAGGCAGCAGUGGGGAAUAUUGCACAAUGGGCGAAAGCCUGAUGCAGCGACGCCGCGUGAGGGAUGACGGCCUUCGGGUUGUAAACCUCUUUCAGUAGGGAAGAAGCGAAAGUGACGGUACCUGCAGAAGAAGCGCCGGCUAACUACGUGCCAGCAGCCGCGGUAAUACGUAGGGCGCAAGCGUUAUCCGGAUUUAUUGGGCGUAAAGAGCUCGUAGGCGGUUUGUCGCGUCUGCCGUGAAAGUCCGAGGCUCAACCUCGGAUCUGCGGUGGGUACGGGCAGACUAGAGUGAUGUAGGGGAGACUGGAAUUCCUGGUGUAGCGGUGAAAUGCGCAGAUAUCAGGAGGAACACCGAUGGCGAAGGCAGGUCUCUGGGCAUUUACUGACGCUGAGGAGCGAAAGCAUGGGGAGCGAACAGGAUUAGAUACCCUGGUAGUCCAUGCCGUAAACGUUGGGCACUAGGUGUGGGGGACAUUCCACGUUUUCCGCGCCGUAGCUAACGCAUUAAGUGCCCCGCCU
Molecule: ribosomal RNA, 802 nt
Filed under: Arthrobacter sp. MJ205
Lineage: Bacteria; Bacillati; Actinomycetota; Actinomycetes; Micrococcales; Micrococcaceae
Description: bacterial SSU rRNA
Rfam family: Bacterial small subunit ribosomal RNA
Source: RNAcentral